Molecule: ribosomal RNA, 253 nt
Filed under: uncultured bacterium
Lineage: Bacteria
Description: partial 16S ribosomal RNA
Rfam family: Bacterial small subunit ribosomal RNA
Source: RNAcentral
GACGUAGGGCGCGAGCGUUGUCCGGAUUUAUUGGGCGUAAAGAGCUCGUAGGCGGCUUGUCGCGUCGACUGUGAAAUCCCGCGGCUCAACUGCGGGUCUGCAGUCGAUACGGGCAGGCUAGAGUUCGGUAGGGGAGACUGGAAUUCCUGGUGUAGCGGUGAAAUGCGCAGAUAUCAGGAGGAACACCGGUGGCGAAGGCGGGUCUCUGGGCCGAUAUUGACGCUGAGGAGCGAAAGCGUGGGGAGCGAACAGG